This 306-nucleotide ribosomal RNA is filed under the name Triticum aestivum (bread wheat). Its description in RNAcentral is "partial small subunit ribosomal RNA". The record is from RNAcentral. Lineage: Eukaryota; Viridiplantae; Streptophyta; Magnoliopsida; Poales; Poaceae.
AUGAUCAAGGAGAAGAAGAUCAUUGAUGUCCUCUUAUCCGCUGAAACUACUGAAGCUCAAGGUUUUAUUUUUGAGGGCAGAGAUGAUUAUGCAGAAAUCGUCUAUAGGGAUGAUGAGGAGGAGGAUAUGGAUAGUACAGGGAUGCCAGGGAGUGGCAUUGGAGAAGCGAUGAGAGUCAAUGAAUUGCUCGAGCCACGUAGAAGUGCGAGACUAAGACAACUUUAUGAAGAAGAAGAAUUCGAUUAUGAAGAAGAGGAGUUUGAUGAUGAUGAGGAGAUGCAUUCAGAUGAGGAGAAUGACUAUUGA